RNAcentral lists this unclassified non-coding RNA (507 nucleotides) under uncultured Entrophospora. RNAcentral's name for it is "SSU rRNA". It matches the Rfam family "Eukaryotic small subunit ribosomal RNA", at positions 591 to 1092 of the family's 1831-position model. The record is from RNAcentral. Lineage: Eukaryota; Fungi; Glomeromycota; Glomeromycetes; Entrophosporales; Entrophosporaceae.
CCAAUAGCGUAUAUUAAAGUUGUUGCAGUUAAAAAGCUCGUAGUUGAAUUUCGGGAUUGACGUGACGGUCAUGCCUUAAGGGGUAUGAACUGUUGCUGUUGAUUUCUCACCUUCUGGAGAAACUUGAUGUCCUUUAUUGGGUGUCUUGCGGAUCCAGGACCUUUACCUUGAAAAAAUUAGAGUGUUUAAAGCAGGCAUUUUUGCUCGAAUACAUUAGCCUGGAAUAAUAGAAUAGGCCGGCAUGGUUCUAUUUUGUUGGUUUCAUGGGUCACCGGAAUGAUUAAUAGGGAUAGUUGGGGGCAUUAGUAUUCAAUUGUCAGAGGUGAAAUUCUUGGAUUUAUUGAAGACUAACUACUGCGAAAGCAUUUGCCAAGGAUGUUUUCAUUAAUCAAGAACGAAAGUUAGGGGAUCGAAGACGAUCAGAUACCGUCGUAGUCUUAACCAUAAACUAUGCCGACUAGGAAUCAGACGAUGUUAAUUUUUUAAUGACUCGUUUGGCACCUUACG